Molecule: long non-coding RNA, 379 nt
Organism: Sinocyclocheilus anshuiensis
Lineage: Eukaryota; Metazoa; Chordata; Actinopteri; Cypriniformes; Cyprinidae
Source: Ensembl
UUGCAGUCUCUCCUCAUCCAAGUCUCACAGUCUUGUUCUUGCAAAACAUCUGCAACAAUGGCACAAUUUGGCCAUCUGGUGGCAGUGUUGAGCCUAUGCCUGCUGGCUGCUGUGGUGAACGCUCAACAGAACACCUCCCCACCUCCUCCUCGUCUGGGACGAGAGAUCUGCACACACUACACUCAGGGUGGGACCCUCCUUCUGGAUGGGCCAAAGGUCUUUGAAAUGAUGCUGAUUGAGUUUGGACGGGCAAUCCAGACCCUGAACCCUAUGGUGACUCAACAGUGGAUGGAUGAUGUAGAUGAAGAUCACGACAAACACCUCAACAUGGCGGAGUGUGUCAAACUCGUCCAGAGAGUCUCUGAUUCCGUUCAGAGGC